GAUGAAGAACGUAGCGAAAUGCGAUAAGUAAUGUGAAUUGCAGAAUUCAGUGAAUCAUCGAAUCUUUGAACGCACAUUGCGCUCGCUAGUAUUCUGGCGGGCAUGCCUGUCCGAGCGUCAUUUCAACCCUCAAGCCCCCGGGCUUGGUGUUGGGGAUCGGCGAGCCUCCGCGCCCGCCGUCCCCUAAAUCUAGUGGCGGUCUCGCUGUAGCUUCCUCUGCGUAGUAGCACACCUCGCACUGGGAAACAGCGCGGCCACGCCGUUAAACCCCCAACUUCUGAACGUUUGACCUCGGAUCAGGUAGGAAUACCCGCUGAACUUAAGCAUAUCAAUAAGCGGAGGA
This 343-nucleotide unclassified non-coding RNA is filed under the name soil metagenome. Its description in RNAcentral is "partial contains 5.8S ribosomal RNA, internal transcribed spacer 2, and large subunit ribosomal RNA". The stretch from base 1 to 120 matches the Rfam family "5.8S ribosomal RNA", at positions 35 to 154 of the family's 154-position model. The record is from RNAcentral.